This 253-nucleotide ribosomal RNA is filed under the name uncultured prokaryote. RNAcentral's name for it is "partial 16S ribosomal RNA". It matches the Rfam family "Bacterial small subunit ribosomal RNA", at positions 524 to 776 of the family's 1533-position model. The record is from RNAcentral.
UACGUAGGGUGCAAGCGUUAAUCGGAAUUACUGGGCGUAAAGCGUGCGCAGGCGGUGAUGUAAGACAGGUGUGAAAUCCCCGGGCUUAACCUGGGAACUGCAUUUGUGACUGCAUCGCUGGAGUGCGGCAGAGGGGGAUGGAAUUCCGCGUGUAGCAGUGAAAUGCGUAGAUAUCUGGAGGAACACCGGUGGCGAAGGCGACAUCCUGGACCAACACUGACGCUGAGGAGCGAAAGCCAGGGGAGCAAACGGG